This 450-nucleotide ribosomal RNA is filed under the name uncultured bacterium. RNAcentral's name for it is "partial 16S ribosomal RNA". It matches the Rfam family "Bacterial small subunit ribosomal RNA", at positions 354 to 796 of the family's 1533-position model. The record is from RNAcentral.
GUGGGGAAUCUUCCGCAAUGGACGAAAGUCUGACGGAGCAACGCCGCGUGAGUGAUGAAGGUCUUCGGAUUGUAAAGCUCUGUUAAUCGGGACGAAAGAGCCUAGUGUGAAUAAUGCUAGGAAGUGACGGUACCGGAAUAGAAAGCCACGGCUAACUACGUGCCAGCAGCCGCGGUAAUACGUAGGUGGCAAGCGUUGUCCGGAAUUAUUGGGCGUAAAGCGCGCGCAGGCGGAUCUGCCAGUCUGUCUUAAAAGUUCGGGGCUUAACCCCGUGAUGGGAUGGAAACUACAGAUCUAGAGUAUCGGAGAGGAAAGUGGAAUUCCUAGUGUAGCGGUGAAAUGCGUAGAGAUUUGGAAGAACACCAGUGGCGAAGGCGACUUUCUGGACGAUGUCUGACGCUGAGGCGCGAAAGCUAGGGGAGCGAACGGGAUUAGAUACCCCGGUAGUCC